This is a long non-coding RNA of Micropterus dolomieu (smallmouth bass), 1543 nucleotides long. RefSeq lists it as uncharacterized. Lineage: Eukaryota; Metazoa; Chordata; Actinopteri; Centrarchiformes; Centrarchidae. The record is from RefSeq and is a predicted model, not a curated record. The transcript has 3 exons.
CUCGCAGUGACAGCUCUCGCAUGUCUCGUGCUGCAAAGUUAUACCUGGCCACUGCUGUACUGACCACCCGAGGAGUAAACACUGCGAAGACGGAAACGGCGUUCACAUGGAGAGUCACUGGCCUGAGGAGAGGAAGACAGCACCAGUGAAGACAAUGAGAGUGGGAGGUAGUCUGUCUCAAUUAUUUUACUCUUCCUUGCUAUACCCACAGCGAAGAUGGCAACGGAUUCAAUUUCCAGCUAACCAAAGGAGCCCAUCCGAGGGUACUGCCAGAGGCCAGAUUGCAUAAUUCCUCCAGCUUGUACCGGGUCUGACCAGUGGUCUACUUCUAGCUGGAAAAGCUAUGGAUACCGCCACAGUAGUCCGAGGAGAAGCAGUUCAGCUGAUAUUCCAUCCAGAUGUCUAAGUUUCUCACCCUACCUCUAAGGGUAAACUUAACCAGGAGACUCAUUUCAUUCACUUCUAUCUGUGAUCUAAUUCUUUUGGGCAUUACCCAAAGCUCGUGACCAUAGGCGGGGGUUGUAACCUAGGUAGACUGUUAAAUCAAGAAUGAUUCCACAACCCUUAUGGACAACAUUGGGAAAAAGCUUCCUUGCCGAGAACAGAAAGAGUGGGGCCCUCAACUGGAGCCCUGUCUAAAGGGAAAGCUCACUGGCAAGUGCCUGGUGGCCGACAAUUGAAGGGACGAUCGACAAUUGGUUGAUCUGACGCCAACGUCCAGGCAAUUUUACCUCACUUACUAUGAGCUUACUUACCAAGAUGUUAUAAAAAUUAGUCUAGAACCUGCUCCUUACUCUGUAUUUAGAUAUGCUUCUGGUGGAGAGGCAUGUCCGUCUGCUGAGCCUCUGUAAUCAGCACGAGUGACAAGCCUCAAUCCUUAAUUACAGUUUGCUGUCUCUUUUCAAUGGAUCAGUGAAUGUGGACACCCCACAUCCCCAUUCUCCCUAGUUUAAUAAAAGGGUUUACACUUGCACACCCCUUUUAAAUAGCUUGCAGAUAGGCAGUGUGAUAUCUUUAGGCUCACCUUCGGCAUGUGCAUACAACUUUCGUACGCACAGUUUAAGCACAGAUUUGUGCGUAAACUGAAUGUAAACAAACUUUUGUUCGGCUACAAGAAAACUCCAUAGGGCCCUUUUAAUGGUUGAUGUUGUUCAUUUUCCACUGGCCAAGCAGGAUUACUAUUCAUGAAACAAAACUGCAUCAGCGAGGUAACAAGAAAGAAAGGUAAUUGGACUGUCAUUUAUCAGCUGUAAUGUACGAAAUUGUAUGAUUUUGAUUAGCAUAGUGUGUUGCUUGCGGAGUAGCGAUAGAGCAGGCUAUCGUCAGGCUGUGUGUUGGUAUUGGUUGAUAUGUGAUACCAGGUUGAAAGCCAUUGCAUUCUUAUUUUGUGCACAAGAUUCUGGAGAAAAGGAACACUUGGAAGGCUUACCUGGCGAGCGUGUGCUGGCCCGCGUUAGCGAACGUUCUCUUGACUUGUAGGGGUAUCGCAAUGUGGUAUCUAACAACUUAAAGCUUUCUUUCAGUGAAUGGGACUGAUAGUACU